Molecule: long non-coding RNA, 608 nt
Organism: Haliotis rubra (blacklip abalone)
Lineage: Eukaryota; Metazoa; Mollusca; Gastropoda; Lepetellida; Haliotidae
Exons: 5
Source: RefSeq, a predicted model, not a curated record
GUCUCAUGGCUGUUAUGGUCUUUAUGAUUGAACAUUUAAUAUGAUCUUGACACUAUUUUCAGCUUGGAGAAUGACUGAUGGUGACUGGGGAGGUGUAUCUUUGCACAUACAGCAGAAUCAGAAGCCUUCACAUCCAAUGUUGUGUUUCAACAAGUCGGUCUGAUGUUGGCAGUGUGUGCACCCUCCUUUCACCUUGAUAUCCUCUACCACCUUGAGCAAGUUGUGGUACUUGAACAUGCACAACCUUCAAGAAAUAGAAGCAUUGGUGUUAUUUCAAAUGACAUCACAACUGCCUUAGAUUAAAACUUGAAGGAAGUGACAUUCCCCGGAAAAGUUGUUCACCAUACCAUCCCAUGUUGGGUUGCCCCCCAGUCCAGAUCAACAGUUUGUUGAGGAAAAGCUUGGAAUUCAGUUGAUGCCUAUUCUUGCUGUGAAGAGGAGCGAUCUGAACUGAAGGGGAGAACAGACUCCAAACAAGAGUAGAUGUGAUGACACCAAGAAAGAGCAGCCACAUAUUACCUCGAGAGGUUAACCGGAAUGCAAAUCAACAGAAUAUGAUGCUGACCAAGUACCAGGAAGAGGUGUCCCCAUCACUGUAGAUGACAAGU